Long non-coding RNA from Meriones unguiculatus (Mongolian gerbil), 9027 nucleotides. RefSeq lists it as uncharacterized. The transcript has 6 exons. NCBI's taxonomy places the organism in Eukaryota, Metazoa, Chordata, Mammalia, Rodentia, Muridae. The record is from RefSeq and is a predicted model, not a curated record.
CAGCAAAAGGUAUUUAUUAUCCUUGUCGGCCUCACCUGGAGAUGGGUUUCCCUGCCGUGGGCACCACCAGGUUUAUUUCUUCCGGACCCAGCAGGCAUUAUGGGAAAAACUCCCUCGGAUCUUCUGGCUCCUGCUCCCACAGCCUGACUUAGUUUAUGAAGAAAGGCUUCAUUUGCAAGUCAGAGAUGGGAACAGGAGUGCAAGCUUUGCACAGCCCACGCCGUUCCCAGUUUGCAUGCAGGUUCAAACACGUGCUCACGUGCGCACUACAGGAACACCACGUGCGUACACACAGCUGCUCAGAUCUUUGUUAGACAGCGUGCAACUGACUCCAAACCCACUUCUGAGCUGGAUGUAGCAAGCCGACCAACCCUUCAGUGCUGAUGAGACCUACUUGUGACAAACCUUACUGAAGAAGUGGCACUCAUAUAGAAACGGACACGAAUUUGUAAAGACAUAAUUCUGUGAGCUGUGCGACCUGGACACCCUUAAGAAACCACCGCUCAGAAGAUGUGGGUGGCCGAGUGAUGAGAUGGCCUAUCAGCCCGGCACACAGAGAGCACGUAAUGGGCAUCCCUCUUGGCCCUUACAACCAGAAACUUCCCAACAGACCAUCCACAAAUGAGGAUGUAAGAGACCACCUGUAGAUGAACUAUGAGGACCUCAAAGAGCUACCUGUGAGAGAUGGAAACUGCCGUUACUGCUACAAUUAUGGCAGAGAGAAGUCAAACAGUGCUGGAGGGUGAAGAGUGAAUCCCAAGGCACACUCAUUUCCCAGGGGGCGAUUUUGCUGCAGUUUCCAUUGCUGUGCUUCUGUGUGACCAGGACUGCUGCUCUGACAUAGGCAGACGCCUGGUUAAUGAAGGAGGUUCUACAUUCGUAUCGCUCAAGUUGAAAGCAUGACUAAGAUUGAAUUACUGUACGGAAGCUACACCAACAGGUCAGGUAGCCGCAUCGAUCGAGACGGCUUCUCCUCUCUGACUGUUUUUAAAUGCAAGUCUUACAUCAUUCAGACUCGUUAGCGAUCUCUGACCUGUGGCUCAGUGAACAAAUAUCUCCUUGCAAGCGUGAGGACUGCGUUUGGAUGGCCAGAACCCAUGUGAAGUGGGGCACAGUGGUGCACAGCUAUGAUCCCAGCCCUCCUGAAGGGAGGCGGAAGGGGGAGACAGGAGAACCUUCUGGAGCUUGGGAGCAGCUAACCUGGUGUACUCAAAAGUGAACAUCUAGAAACCUUGCCUCAAAGGUAGAAGGCAAAGACCGAUACGUAAGGUUCUCUUUCGACCUCCAUGCGAAUAAUGUGCCGCAUCUGUACUCACACACAGACACAACAAGCACAUAACACACAUAUACAAAUACAAACAUAGUCUCACACACACACACACACACGCAUAUACAUAUACACAUACACACACAUCACAUAUGUGUAAAGAUAUUAAAAGUUAAAUUAAAACCCUUAUUGCUGGUGGUGCACACCUAAAAUCCUAGCACUUGGGAGACAGAGGCAGGAAGAUCAGAAAUUUGAGGCCAGCCUGCGCUCUAUGAGACCAAUGUUUCAAAAGACAAAACAGAAUUCUUACUGACUUUUCAAAUUAUACAUAUAAAACAAUCAUACAUAUAAAACAAAUUAAACACUUCAGAAAAAACAUAACAUAAAUAAUGAAAGUUAUGUGUAACUACCAAAUCCAUUGUUUCUGAGUUCUGAUUGAAACCAUGUCCAGUUAUGUUAACUAUCCCCCCGCUCUGCCUGAAUUGGGAUAGCUGAGGUCGAUCAUGCUGGGACUAUUUUUUAAUUGCCUGCCUUUACUUUCAAAUGGUUUCUGGACACAAAACAGAUUAUGUGGGCCUUUGACCUAUAACAUACCUCCAAAAGAAAGGCCAUUAUCAGCCACUGUGGGUUUAAGUAUUCUCUAUUUCUUUUCCCAUAAUUUGCUUUAACUUAUCCUCUUAUAAACUGAAUUUUCUGUUUUGUUUUGCUUUUGUUUUUCGAAACAGGGUUUCUCUGUGUAGUGUUGGCUGUCCUGGAUUCGCUUUGUAAACCAGGCUGGCCUCGAACUCACAGCAAUCUGCCUGCCUCUGCCUCCUGAAUGCUGGGAUUACAGGCAUGCACCACUGCGCCAGUUCAGCUGAAUUUGUAAACACAAGAUUUCUGAUGUGUUCAUCUUUUGGUUUGAAACUAGGCAAUGAAAUUUCACUUUCACUUCUUUUGCAUUUCCAAGAAGAUGUGCUGGGGAGUAGAUGGUGACUAGCAACUUUUUAAAAGUCCCAGGCAAAAGGCCAUUUUAUCUGAGUUCCCUCUGUGAAUCAGAGAAGCAGAUACUGCCUGAACAACUGGAGUGCCGCAAAAAAAAAAUCGUUGGAUCUCAAGAUCACUUACUUGGAUAACAAAUGAAUUGCUUAAAAAGACAUUUCUUUAUUACAAUAAAAAUAAAUACUUAAAAUAAGAUUUUACAAUGCUUAAGAUAUAGGGUUGUAAAAGAAAAAUAAGGCACAUAUGCAGUCCCAUUAGAAGAUGCCCUGCAUGAGCUUAAAAGUUAUCUCAUUUACUUCCCAUUUCUGUAACGCUUUAGAUCAUAAAAGCUAUGGAGACAUAGUGGGGAGGACUCACGAGAUUAUCCCUCUGCUCCCACAUCCAACACUUUUCUCCCUUGCAAUCCAAGCCAUGUCCCCAACUCACUUUGCAACAAGCUCAACCAGGUCCUCUAGCGCUCAGAAGGUUGAGGAGGAACGCCAACACGCUGGGUCCUUACGAGACUUCACAUGCACGCUGGGGGAGCAGCCAUGCCACCUGGUCCCUGCACUGUAGCCUGAACAACUGCAGCUGCCAUGUCAUAAACAGCAGAGGAAGCCCAAGAGUCUGGCGGAGUCUGGACUCUGAUGACUACACACUGCCAAACCAGUAUUAACGGCUGCCUCUCUCCAGACUGCUCCUUGCUUGUUUAAGCUACCAUGAGUUAGAUUUCAUGUUUCUUAGGGCCAAAUGUAUUGCAAACCAACACAACACCUUAGCAGAGCCUGGUUUCUCCAAGACCCUAGCACCUACACCGGAGAAGAGGCAGCCAGAGGCCAGAAACCCCUUCACUCCGUCGACUCCUAGACAGAAGUAAAGAUUCUCUGCAAAGCAGAUUCCACAACAUACAGAAGCACAUGACACAGGAGCUAAAGUUGAGAAUCAAGAAGAACAUCUCUGAGAUAAGCCUAUCUUAUCUUCAAAUGAUGAUUUGCAUCUUUCUGGAAAGUGAUAAGGUUUCUGUACUGCAGUAAAAUAAGCGACAGUCCCUCUUCGACCACCAACCCCCUACUCUAUCCCUCCUGGACCACCAGCCUCCCUGCUCUGGUCCCUCCUGGAUUGUCAGCCUCCCUACCCUAUCGUUGAGUUGGGCCCCACCAUUUCAAAGAAAACAAUCUUAGAACAUCAGGCAAAGCUACAAUUCAGACAGGAAUGCCAAACAUAAUCCAGAUGUAAUUUUGUCACUAUUAACCCCGUUCUGGGGUGACCUGUUUUCAAAUGCAAGCUCUGUUGUGGGGCUGCCUGCUUGCCGGACCCAGCUGGGCUCCCACUAACCCUUUGUAACCACUCCCCAACCUCUGUGCUUUUGUUUUCUAGUCUGUAGAAUAUGGAGAGACAGAGAAUCCCUGAAUAGAAUAAUUGCAGAGAGUAACUCAAGUGUGGAUCAUUUACAGUAAUGAAUGGCUUGUGUUUAAAACAAACAGAGCAGGGAAUGCCAAGAGCUCAAUAAAUAUUAUACCUUAUUAUAGGUGUUUAAAAGCCAACCCCACCUUACACAUAAAUAUUCAUAUAGUGUGUAAGUAUCAGCAUUUGUGUAAAAAUGUAUGUAUAAACAUCAUUUUUAUUUGUAUUCUCAGGUAAAAUAUGGAAUGAUGUUUCAAUUUUAUCACCCCAAAUGCAGAGACAGACAAGCCCCCAGUGAAUAAAUUACCUUUUUGUCUUUUCCGUCUACUUAAAAACGUUGGGGAAAAGGGAGACCUGAAGAGAUGGCUCAGUAAUUAAGAGCACUGACUGUUCUUCCAGAGGACCUGGGUUUGAGGCCCAGCACUCCCUUGCUCACGCACAACCAUCAUAACUCCAGUUCCAGGGGAUCUGGUGUCCUCUCCUGGCCUCUGCAGGUACUAGGCAUGCCCAUGUUUGCACAUACACGCAUUCAGGCAAAUACAUUCAUACACAUAAAAAUACAUCUUUUAAAUACAUUAUUUAUGCCUGUAAUCCCAGCACUCAAGGAGGUAGAGGUAGGCACAUCUCUGUGAGUUCAAAGUCAGCCUGGUCUACAAAUCAAGUCCAGGACAACUACAGCUACACAGAGAAACUCUGUCUUGAAAACAAUACAAAAAAAAAAAAGAAAGAAAGAAAGAAAGAAAGAAAAGAUUAUUACAUUUUCUUUACUGUGUAUGUGUUUGUGCACACGUGUGCCACAGCUCACAGGUGGCAAUCAGACAGCAACUUUCAAGGGCAGUUCUCUCCUUCCAACAUGUUUGUCCUGGGGGUGGAUCUCAGACCAUCAAGAGCUCGGAGGGCGGCGGCAGGGUCCCUUAACCUGCUGAGCCAUCUUGCCUGCCCCUGCCUCUGCUUACAAAAAUAAACAAGUGAAAAUUUCUAUGUCAGGGCUCAUUUGUGUAAUGAAACCCUAAAAAGGCUCUCCCCUCUCUUCUUUUCUUUCUGCUUGUUUAUUUUUAGAUGAAAUCUCACUCUGUGGUCCAUGCUGGCUUUGAACUAACAACCCUCUGACUUAGCCUGUCAUGUGCCACCAAACUGAGCCUCACUUGAUGUUAUUUUCAUGAAAACCUGAGAGAAUACAGACACUUCCUUGGAAACCUUUUCAGAUUCGCCCUCUUUGAGUAUCAGUUGCUAAUUGCACAUACACGAUCAAUCAGCAAACAAGCCUGGGGUCUUGUUUGGUUAGUCCUUUUCCUGCUUGCAGAAUUUACUGUACUUCCUGUAUAGUUUCUAUCUUAACUGUCCCCAAAGGCUCAGUCCCCAGUGUGUGGCAUUCUUUCGGAGUUGUGGAACCUUCCAGAAACAGAGCCUACUGGGGAGUUCUGGUCUGUCAGAAUCCUCACAGGGAACUGUGGGAUUCGGGUCUCUCCCUACACCUUUCCUUUUGGUACCUGGCCAUGAGUGGAAUGGACCUUGUAGACCCAUGAUUUCUGCUGUGAUGUGCUGGUUCUCCAUCACCUUCCAAAGCAACAAAGGCCACCCAAAACAACGAAAACCUGCAAAACUGCAAGGCAAAAUAAAUAUUUUUUUUUAUACUUAGACUAUGUCAAAUAUUUUGUUUCAGCAAUAAGAAGCUAUUUAACAAAUGGCCUCUGUUCUCAGUCUUCAACUUUUCUUAGUUCUAUUGUUUAAAUUUGUGAUUCCCUUUAGUAACUCUCAGCUGUUCAGUCUUCUAAAUAUUUUACACACUGUUGCUCAUCUAAAAUAACUUCCAUCGGCCAAGAAGGGUUGUCCUUAAGCUAACUAAUUUUUUUUUUCUUCGCAUUUCCCCAUACUGAAAGGACUGGUCAUUCCCCAUCCAUUGUAGCUUGUUCCGACCAGCCAACACCCUCCAUCUCCUCUCUAACCUGAGCGUUCUUCAGGCUUCCUUUCUUUCGGGGUUUCAGUCUUCCCAAAGCCUGCUCUGUCUGCCAAGCGCCUUCUCCCACCCUUGCGCUUAGAAUCCCGGAUGCCUCUGCAGCUCCGACACUGCCUUCCGAAUUGCCUUCCUUCGCUGCUGCAGCUGCCGUUACUCCUUAGCCAUGGUCAGUCAGAGCCGGGGGGAGAGACCUGUCCCCUCUGUACCCUGUCUCCCAGGUUAGAAAGUCGUCACUGCCACAUUUCAGUUGUCAGCACCACGAUGCACGGAUCAGAUAGUCCCUUUUAUUCUUUCAUCUUGGCAGCACCUAAGAAUUAGUGUCUAAUGACACAGAGGCAAAAAGUUAAUGGAAAUUUAAUUGGGGGGAGAAAAACAACAAUAAUAAAAACCUAGUAUCCCAACAGGAAUUAAACCCAGUGGCCAUAACAGGAGGCAAAUAUUCCAUCCUCCGGGCUUUGGAGAGGAGUGGAGUGUACUUGGCUACAGAGAGGCAUCAUGUCCGUAAUACAGGUGAUUCCUGUAUUUUCCCAGUAUUACUUUGGUCAACAAAAUGAAGAAAGGAAGUGAAUUCCAAUUUAAAUGUCAGAGCUACCUACUGUAAGAAUUCUGAACAGAGGGCCUUAAUGAAAAUAGGAUUUAAUUUCCUGUAAAUGUUUGAGUUCUUUAACCCUAAUAUAUAGAAGUGAUGAAUAUUUAUACCAAAGAAUUGCAUCUUCCUCACAGAAUAGUGUUUAGUCAGCCACAAACAAAGGAAUUGCGGGAGAAUUUUUUUUUUUAAGGAUUUUUAUGGAUUUUUCUGGAGGAAAUAACAUCUGGAUAAUUUUGUGCCUUCUUUCAUAUUUUUCUCCAAAAGGUUAAGGUGUACCAAAAAUGCUGCAAGCAUAUUCUUAAAUAAUAUCUUUACUUAUUCUUUUAAAAUUUCAUGCAUGUAUAAAGUGUAUUCUAAUCUGAUCCACCCUCAACUCAAGUACAGUGUUUCGAAGGCUCCGCAUUCUGGCUGCCUGCAGGGAUUUAAGCUAUUGGGCUAUUGUGAUGCGUUUUUAGUUUUUAAAUGAAUUAAGCUUAUCCAAUAUUUUAUAUCCAGAUUAACCUAGUUUUCAUCCAAUCUCUGGUACUUAAGGGAAGUAGGGCUCCCUGAAUAAAGUAGGAACAUUUCAACACAGUGAGGUUGAAAUGAGGAGAAACCUCAGCCUCUAACCUCAUUUGCUUUCUUCAUUUGUAUCUUUUUUUUUUUUUUUCCAGACAGGGUCUCGUUAUGUAGCCCUUACUAGAACGUAACUUGCUGUGUAAACCAAACUGGCUUUGAACUCGCAGAGAUGUUAACAUCCUCAAAAGCACUGGGCCUAAAGCCCUGUGUGCUUUCCGCAUUCAAGGCGUCUUGCUCUUUCCUUAUGCCUUGUGACGUGGCUGUGUGCAACACAACCUGAGGCUCCAACUAAACCAACUGUUGAAUCACUGAAAAUUCAGCAAAACGUUCUCAGGAAGAAACAGUGCACUGCAGGAUGCCAGAAAUAUUAAAACCCAAGCAAACACUACAGAAGUGGCAAGCUUCCACUGAACGUUUAGAAGGGAAAAGAAAAGAGAAGAAAAACCUGAAGAUUUUAUUUUCAAAUAUCAACAUAUAUUUAAUACUAGGAUUCACAAGGUAGAGAUAGAUCCCUGUGAAUUCAAGGCCAGUGUGGGCUACGCAGGGACUAUGAGAGACCCUAUCUCAGAAGAAGAAGAACUAAUCACAACAACAGCAAUAAAAAGAAUAAAUGCAAAUCAGAAUGUCAACAGAUGUUUUUUAAAGCCCUUAAUAAUAAUAAUAAUAAUAAUAAUAAUAAUAAUAAUAAUAAACUCUGUCUACUUUUAUUUUAUGUGUAUGGGAGUUUACCUGUAGGUUUGUCUGCAUACCACAUGCAUGCAGUACCUGUGGGGGCCAGAAGAGGGCAAUGAGUCCCUGAAACUGGAGUUACAGAUGGGUGUGAGUGGCCAUGUGGGUACUAGGAACUCAACCCUGGUCUCAAGAGCAGCAAGUGCUACUGAGCUGUCUCUCCUACCCCUCAAAAUUAUUUUUAAAGGGCCUUAAUCCACAGCCAUUAAUAAACAUCCUUGCAAUAAAUAUCUGGGACUCUGGUUGGUGGUGGUAGAAAAACCACAGUUGUGGAGAAACUGAAAGAAAAGCAUAUGGAACCCAUAAGCAAAAAUCCACAAUAUCCCUGUGUUCGGGUCAUUUAGAUAGCUGACCUGAGACUGACAAAACUUUUGCAAGCUUCAUGAUAGGUAUUUAUAAGCCUCUGUUAUUGAGAGAAUAAAAAUGCCUUUAUGAGUUGUUAAUCAAUAAAAGAUAGGUUUCAAAUGCUUUAACUUCAUCCUCAAUUAGUUAUGUUGAAAGCUAUGUUAAAAAUGAACUAAUGAAGAUGGAAGAUCAGGUGUCUUAAGCUUGGGUGGUGAGACAGGCCCGGUCCUUACUUGCCUCUGAUCCUAAUUCAUUCCCACCAGCAGUCCGUGUCAAAUAUCUGUACUUUUUAGUCUAAUUAAAUGUCACUCACACCAUGGAAUUUUGUCUAGUUCUGCUUUCUCCUUUCCUAUGCAGAGGGAACACUUUACUUGCAUCCGUCCGGUAGAGACUACAGUGUUGUAGCGUAAGCAUCACAAGCCUGACAUUGAUAUGUCCUACUUCUUCCUUGAGAAAGAAGGUCUUAAGGAUAUGUGUCAUUCUCUAUACAUGUGUCCUUCCCAAAGCACUAAGCAUUAAGCCUUGCCCUUAGUAACAAUCAAUGAACAUGAGUUGAAUUACUUAAUUAAGGUUUCUGUCCACUCAAUAUAAAAUGUCUGCUUGAAGACAAAGGCCAGGCAAUGAGAAGGCUCACUGGGUAAUCGAUACUUCAAUUUUUAUGCGUCCAAUCAAUGUUGUAUGUUACAGUAAAUAAGGUGCCAUAGUAUUUAUCUGCACACACUGUGAAAUGUCUCUUCUGUUUGCCCUCCCCACCAGAAGUUGGUGACUUUGGAAAAGUCAUUGCCCCCUUUCAGGGGCAAUAAAUAAGGCAAUACCAGCCAGUCUCUCAUACAUGGCACUCUUGCAGCAAAGGUGGUAGAAAAGAUAAGACACAAACUAACAAAAAUCUUAGCAUGUGAGGACAUGUAUCUGUUAAUGAGCUUGGUUUCACAAUGCACAGUUCAUGCAAAUAUCAAAACAUUUGUUGAUAUGUACCAUAGAUGCAAACAGUUGUGAGGUGUAUGAACCCAUAUGGAGCUCAAAUCAACCCUCACAUAAGCACUGCCAAGAAGCUGCUCUCUUACCUAGGCUGAGAAAAUAAGAGAAGGUUUUACUACCAGGCCCAAGGCAGAGGUGUCCUGGCAGGCAGGAUUGCUCACGAGGGCCACAUUGGCUCUCCGUGUGUCGUCUAGCUAGAAGGAAUACUUUAGCUUCUCCCUUCCUCUACAGUUAUUCUUA